UUCUUCAGGGCAGGGUGUAAUUCCCGACCGGCGGUUAUAGUCCGCGAGCUUGGUUUUAAAAUUUUAAAUUUUUAAAACUUUGUUGAUUUGGUGUAAUUCCAAAACCGACAGUAUAGUCUGGAUGGGAGAAGAA
This 133-nucleotide non-coding RNA is filed under the name chicken gut metagenome. RNAcentral's name for it is "FMN riboswitch (RFN element)". It matches the Rfam family "FMN riboswitch aptamer (RFN element)". From Rfam's summary of the family: The RFN element is a highly conserved domain that is found frequently in the 5'-untranslated regions of prokaryotic mRNAs that encode for flavin mononucleotide (FMN) biosynthesis and transport proteins. This element is a metabolite-dependent riboswitch that directly binds FMN in the absence of proteins. The record is from RNAcentral.